GCUGAGUGUGGUGGUGCAUGCCUGUAAUCCCAGCAAUUUGGGAGGCUGAGACAGGAGGAUUGCAAGUUUGAGACCAGUCUCGGCAACUAGCAAGACCCUGUCUCAA
This 106-nucleotide small RNA is filed under the name Marmota monax (woodchuck). The record is from RNAcentral. Lineage: Eukaryota; Metazoa; Chordata; Mammalia; Rodentia; Sciuridae.